AAUAAAUAUAGCUGUGGAUAUCCGUGCCCAAUGUUUGACCGUCCGUCUUAUUUAAAAUUUUUUUUAUGAUUACUUUUUUUAUUGCUAUUAGAUGAUAAAACAUGAAUAUUACUUUAUGUGUGACUAAAUAUUUUUAAAUUUUUUAUAAAAUUUUCAAAUAAGACGAAUGAUCAAACGUUGAACGUGAAUAGUGCAAAAUUGCACUUGUU
Oryza barthii is the source of this 209-nucleotide non-coding RNA. The record is from Rfam. Lineage: Eukaryota; Viridiplantae; Streptophyta; Magnoliopsida; Poales; Poaceae.